Long non-coding RNA from Lytechinus pictus (painted urchin), 1836 nucleotides. RefSeq lists it as uncharacterized. Lineage: Eukaryota; Metazoa; Echinodermata; Echinoidea; Temnopleuroida; Toxopneustidae. The transcript is spliced from 3 exons. The record is from RefSeq and is a predicted model, not a curated record.
GCAGUCGCAACCAUUUAAUUUGAAAAAGGAAUGCUCCCGUUUUUCGCCGUUAAAUGUUGCAGCCUAAUUUUGGAUCGAGAAUUAAGUGCGACGAAGAUGGCCGUUAAUAAUAGUUCUACUACUUUAAGAACACGAUUCAGAUUUGGAUAACGACUUCGAAGGCAUUCGCAGGAGACCAAACAGAGAAAGAGAGGGAGACACAAAACCACCUGUCUCGGUGUCACACAUGAGGAGUUGAGGAGGAGAUGAAGUCAGUGAAUAUGACCUGGCCUGGGGGAGUUUCCAGAAGAAGGCCCAGAAUCGCUGGAUGCCAGGAGUGGAGAUCCUUCGUUGCUGCCCUACAUGAUAGGAGGCAUCGGGCAGUAGAUGCUGUAAUUUGAAACGGAAGGUGUCCUGCCAAUAAAUUUUCAUCCCACCUGAACUGCCUUGCCUGCCUGCACCCAGUCAUCUGUUCCUGAGCAUUUUCAUUUUCCUCUAUUUUUCAUCAUCGUUUGUUUCGGCCUGUAUGAAGUGAAUUUCACAUUGAUUGGUGGAGCUGCUAAGUUGGCAUUACAGGGCCACGCCGGGGUAUGAUCCUUUGGGUUGAACAUCAUGACUGCUAGUUGGUCGGCAAAGGUGAUGGGAUCGAUCAAUGUCACAUGGAGUAAGAUCGAUACCAAUCUGCUUUGCUACAUUUCGAACAAUCUCAUACGGAUACGGAUAUUAUUGCGACAGGAGUACUGCUCGAUGUGGUCAAGCCUAUUUGACAAAGCAUUAUGGUGUUAGUCAUGUUAUCAGAAACCGAUUUUUCAAAAUCACGGAGUUGCUUCAAUUUAGUAUCGAUAGAUAUUUCAAGAACGUGUAGAUUAGUGAGCUUUUCAUCAAGAAUUUCACGCAAUUUAUUUUCGCGCUUAUCCAUGUCAUCAUUGAGUUUUUGUCUCUCGCGUUCCAUUGCCACGGCCACCGCUCUUUGAACGACUGUAUCAAUAUGAUCUAGGUAUGCUGGGCUUUGUUUAGAUCCAGUUAAUGAUGAAGCAGAGGAUUGUGUACAUGCGUUAGCCGAGUGCAAGCGGCCUCUUGAUCUGGUGGAUAUCUUAGACAUGUUAGAGAUUACGUAAUGAUAUAAUUGAAAAGUGGGAUGGGCUGUGCAUCUGCCAACUCACCAGUCAACCAAUUGGAGACGGCCUUCCAAAGUGACACAGCACGAAAAUAUCAAUAUGGGACUGGUCUAGUCAACACAUAGAUCCUGAAAAAACCAUGGAGACCGCAGACGCAAAAUGACUUCCAUACAUAAAGAUAUGAUGCACAAUCUCCAGUGGGUUCAAAACACUGAACACAUGCUAUGCUGAUACACAGACUAUCAUAAGAACUUUAUCAAGCAAAGGAAAUCUGGUAUGAAAUCUCUCAGCUCACAUAAAAAGCCUACGUAGCUACAUGUAGGGAAGAAAAUGCGUAAUUGCUGAGAAAUGAGCAAAAUAAGCAUGUAAUUCUAUCAAAUGUCAGGUAUUUUUCGAAUCGAUUAUAAUACACUGUCCCACAUAUGCUUUUCUGUGUUUACAGCGAUCAUCAGAAUUAUCGAUUUUAAGUUAAAAAAUUCAUGAUUUUACAAAGAUACAAGUUUACAUUAAUGUACCAGAUGUAGAUUAUGUACAAUAUAUUGACAAUUAACUUUGAUUUUAUAGAUUUUCUCAAGAAAUAAUUGUUUGCUGCAACUACUGUCUUUUCCUUCUAAGUGAUAGUGUAAUACAACAGUUCCACAAACUAUUUUCAUCAGACUUAUUGAUGCAUGAUUCUUUCACCCAAAUGCAAGCUUCCAUAAAUCCUGAAAACUUUGCAACUCAGGUAUUUUUUUUUUUA